Fukomys damarensis (Damara mole-rat) is the source of this 43-nucleotide non-coding RNA. The record is from Rfam. Lineage: Eukaryota; Metazoa; Chordata; Mammalia; Rodentia; Bathyergidae.
CCACAGCGGGGGCAACUGGGGCCAGCCCCAUGGCGGAGGCUGG